ACUCAAAGGAAUUGACGGGGGCCCGCACAAGCGGUGGAGCAUGUGGUUCAAUUCGACGCAACGCGAAGAACCUUACCAGCUCUUGACAUGUCUAGGACCGGCCGCAGAGAUGUGGCCUUCUCUUCGGAGCCUAGAACACAGGUGCUGCAUGGCUGUCGUCAGCUCGUGUCGUGAGAUGUUGGGUUAAGUCCCGCAACGAGCGCAACCCUCGCCUUUAGUUGCCAUCAUUUAGUUGGGCACUCUAAAGGGACUGCCGGUGAUAAGCCGCGAGGAAGGUGGGGAUGACGUCAAGUCCUCAUGGCCCUUACGGGCUGGGCUACACACGUGCUACAAUGGCGGUGACAGUGGGAUGCAAUGGAGUAAUCCUGCGCAAAUCUCAAAAAACCGUCUCAGUUCGGAUUGGGGUCUGCAACUCGACCCCAUGAAGUUGGAAUCGCUAGUAAUCGCGGAUCAGAACGCCGCGGUGAAUACGUUCCCGGGCCUUGCACACACCGCCCGU
RNAcentral lists this ribosomal RNA (499 nucleotides) under uncultured bacterium. Its description in RNAcentral is "partial 16S ribosomal RNA". It matches the Rfam family "Bacterial small subunit ribosomal RNA", at positions 899 to 1397 of the family's 1533-position model. The record is from RNAcentral.